CAGCAGAUUUCUCAUCAGAAACUUUGAAGGCCAGAAGGCAGUGGGCUGACAUAUUCAAAGUGUUGAAAAAAAGGGAAAUACAAGUAAAAUUGCU
Molecule: long non-coding RNA, 94 nt
Organism: Pipistrellus kuhlii (Kuhl's pipistrelle)
Lineage: Eukaryota; Metazoa; Chordata; Mammalia; Chiroptera; Vespertilionidae
Exons: 3
Source: RefSeq, a predicted model, not a curated record